GUAUUCAGGUGAAACAUGAACGAUACUGAAACUUGUGUCUCUCUUGAAUUCAGCUAAACAACAUUUCAAAUAUACUCCAUAUGAUGAGUCCAGUGGGGUCUUUAGUUAAUUUCUUGAUUUAUUGAAUUUGUGGUGCGUCAGUUCUACGUGAUACUGUCGCUGAUUAGUGCAACCAUCCUCGUAGAGCUCUCUAGUAGAAGGAAACCAACAAUAGUAGCUGACAUUCCCGCGCAAAAUUUUGUCAACACACAACGCCAUUGUUUACACGGAUUAUUUUAACUUUUUGUGCACACUGUGACAAGUCAGCGUUACUAUACCUAUGUCGUAAUAUCAGAAUCGCACGACUCAUGUCAACCAAACUUGGCACAACUCUAGCUGAAGGAAAAGGAGAUUUUAAGUUUGUUCAAAUGAAGAACCUUGUUCUGUUCCAAGAGCCGUGAUACGGCUGUUGCUGAGGAAAGAAAAGCAGUCACUAUAGCUCUUGAAAGAUUGGCAGCCAGCUCGUUACAUAAAACUUUCACUUUAAAAAGAAAGGAGAAUUGUUUUGUGGGGCCUUGAAUUGAGCUGCCGCCAGCUAAUUUUUGUGUUGUGACUUCCUAGGAGAAGAUGUUAUGUAACCUGCGGUGGAUACAGGAUGUGGUUCUUUUUCUAAUGCUGUCUGAUUUUAAAAAAUUCUACAACAACCAAAAAAAAACCCACUGGAUUCAGAAUGUGUAAACAAACAAGUACAAGUUAUAUAUAGCUUUUACAGGUCAGGGAUAUACUCACGGUACUCAUGUAUAGCAAACUUUGAAUUGUGUGGAAAACACUUACAGUUACCUAUUAUGAAAAUUUAUCUGGUUCUAACCAGAAUUAAGAAUUAACUAGAUUAUGACCCAUCCAUGAAACCCAUCAUGAAGUCCGUUUAUGUUUAUAAUCUCCAGAAAGUCACUGUUCUCCCCUUCCUCCCUGAGAUUUGUGUCUUCACUAAGAUAAUCUCCCAUUACGUUGUGUAAAUGUGCAGCAAACAUGCAUACAGAUGUACUGAUGAGCUACUGUUAUCACUAGGAAGGCAGCUAUAGUGAUAAAACAUGUACCACCUGUUGGUUUGUCAGCACAGGAUUGGGGGAGGGAGGGAGGGGGGGGGGGGGGCUAUAUAAGCUCAUGAUGAACAGAAAUGGAUUUUUCUACUAUUUGAUUAAAUGAUUGCAGUCCUAGAAGAUCAGAUUGAAAUUGUUCAAUCAACGACAGGUUAUCUGGAAGAGAAGUCCGUAUAUGAAACUUGAGGGUUGAAUUUGAUGCAAAGCAUGAAAUUCUUUGCCAUCAUUAUAUAUGGAAGAGAAAUCGUGGCAUAUAAAAUGUCUAUAAUGAGAGUUGAAUUUGAUGUAAAGCAUGAAAUUCUUUGCCGUUGUGUUCAAUUGUAAGUUUGCCGUGCUGGCCUUGAAUUGCAUGUUAGAAUUGGGUUAAUGUGUAUGUAACAGUUACUCGCAUCAGGCUCAGAUGUAGCAGCCAAGUUUCCCUCCGUUCAGAUAUAGCUUGCUGUUGUUUUUGAAGAUGACAUUUAUUGGGUAAUAGUAGUAUUUAUAUAGAUAUACCUAUAUCCUCACAUGAAUUCAACGAGAGAGGGGAAUUUUAUAUAAAAUUCAAUGAUGUGUUAAUGUUACUGAGAAAGCAAUUAUUCAAGGUCAUGGUCAUUUUUCAUUAAGUAGAGUUAUUCCCCUUUGAAUACUAAAUCGUGCAACAGUUGUCAGCUGAUGCAAUGUUUACAUUGCUAAAGAGCACAGAUAUAAAUAGGCCAAUUCAAAAAAAAAAAUUAGCAUAUGCAAGAAUUCAGUCUAAACAAUGAGUCAUAUUUCUGUGUAUAUUGGGACCCAUUAGAUAAAUGGGGUUUUGCUGGAAUCCAUCCAUAAUCACUGCAGAAGUGAUAGUGUAUUUGUUAUUUGAAUUUGUUUACAUCAACUUUGUUGUUGUCCCUGUCUUGAUGACCUAUGCCUGUAGGGAAAGAUAAUGGGAGCAGAGGAUCUUUUGCAAAUAAAAUUUUUAUGGGUUGGAUUAUAAACAUGUAGCACAUGUUGUUUACUGCAUGUGCUUGCCAGAGCACAACACAGUGACACGAAGUACUCGGUGCACAUAAUUAUAAGCACUGAGAAAAGUUGUGUUUGCAGUUAUUGCAGCAAUUGGGUUGCAUUAGGAUUUCUUUGUUGUUGUUGCACAAUUGCAAUAGAUAUCCAUGUGAUGCAUAUCUAUCAGACGUACUCGUUCUGACGUCUCUAUUAUUGAUGUUUAUGUUUCUGUCUUACAAACAAGGGAUGGGUUAUGAUAUGUAUUUGUGAAAAGAUAUGCUUUGGUUUUAAUUAAGACCAACAACAGCAAGCUGGUGGGCUGCUUCAGAAUUCAUCAUGGCUAGUGUAUAAAUACAUCUACUGCAAGGUGCUGCAUACCAGGUAUCAUGACAUGAUACAACAGUGGGGUAUUUUUUUGUUUCAGGAGACAUUUUACACUGUAUGUAAUAAUCUACUAUGUAUGAUUGAAAUGUAGAAAUUUUUCAGGAUACCUCAUCAAAAUUUUAGAUAUGUAAAAAUUUCUUGCUGAUAGCUGAACCAAGUUAAGGAAAAAGUUGUGUCAACUCAGGGGAAAGAUUUAGGAUUCCCUUUUCUUCAGACGGUGCCAUACGCCUACUGCGCAAUUCAUUUACAUUUUCAUUGUGUGCAGUAAAUAAACAGUACAUUUAUAUUGCCAUAUAAAACUUUGAUAGGUGUUUUCAGGUCUAUAUGAUGACGAAAAUAUAAUAAACAGAUUGUGGUGUGGUGGAAGAUGUCGUUGUCCUUCUCAGUGGGGACCUGGUGUCCCGGUUUUCAUGGAUUGACAUUAACCAAGAGAUAGUUACACCUCCCUCAGGUGGAUUUGUUCAUUAAUUGACGUGGCUCCAUAAUCUCUUUAAUAAAUGCCUGUUUACUCCAGGUCCCUGCCAGCUUGAAGCACACAAUAAUGAAACAAACUAUUGAUUUAGUGACAUAAGACGCUUUGAUAGUUUGUUAUUAGGGGUCGUUUGUGUUAUUGAAACGGAGAUAAAACCAUGAUUAUGGUGGUUGACUUUUCUUGUCCAUGUGUGAUGGAUUCUAAUUGUCCCUGUGUCUCAUAUUGUGAAAUGCAAGUCCUUGUUUACCAGUGGGGGUAUAUUAGAUUAAAAAAAAUCCCAAUAUACACCACUACAGGGAUAUUGGGAUUCGAAUGGGAAAAAUUGCAUACCCUUUUGAUUGAGUUCUCAUUCAAAUGUUGCAGGGGGGAGGAUGUUGCACAGAGGGUUUUAUUACUGUGCAUAGAUAUUGCAGUACGCAGUUUUACUAAAGGCUGUACAAAGCUUUACGAUUGAAUUUACUUGUGUGUAACUGCUGUGAUUAGUGCAUGCACUUGUAAACGUUAGGAUUAAACAUAGGUUUUGACGUAUUUCUUAUAACUGGAAUUCUUUCAUAAUGUUUUAGACAAAUGAGGAAAAGGACAGCAUGUAUAUACAUACAUACAUACAUACACACACACACACACACACAGAAUAUAUAUAUAUAUAUAUUACUCACAAGCUGAAUAAAAGUGUAAAGUUUGAGAGUAAAAUGUUCGCAGUUUUCUGACUAGUAUUUUUAUACUUUGUAAUAAAAUGAAUGAAUUGACUAUUAAUGGGCAUUAUACUAGACAUUACAUAAUCAAUAAUUUGAGAAAAAAUAGAUUAAUUCGGUGAGAAUGUUUGUAUAGCAUAAUCUUUGAUUACACACAAGUGCAUGAUGCAAUGUGAGGAUAGUGUGAUGUCAAUUUUUAGAUAGCUCUAUAUCCUUAUAGGUUUUUGCAAAAAUUGAAUUAAAUUUUUCUUAAAUUGAUAGAAGAUAUCUUUUUUAAGAAUUUUAUUCCCUGUGUGUGAUAGAUUGUUAGAUGAAAAAUCUGGUAAACUAUUUUAUACUGUAAAAGUUAUAUUUUCUAUAAAUAAUCAAUUUUUCAUAUUUCAAAAUGUUGCCUAGAGCGAUAACUCCUAUGCUUGUAUUUUCUGUAAAUGUCACAGGUAAGUGUAUGUUACGAUUUACAGCAGUAAUGUCACAGGUAAGUGUAUGUUACGACUUACAGCAGUAAUAUCACAGGUAAGUUUAUGUUACGACUUUCAGCAGUGAUGUCACAGGUAAGUUUAUGUUAUGACUUGGAGCAAAACUUGUGUCAGUUACACGUACAACUACGUUUACAGUUUGAGUUCAUGACCUUUAGUAAAUUUUAAACUUCGUCCUGUUUCAUCUAAAGUUUUGGACAUUGAACAGAGACAAAGGUGGAGGAUCAAGAAGUGUGUUGCUGGAGUUAUAUUUGCAAUAUUCGGUGCAAGUGUACUCUUAAAUUUCCUGUAGUUGAAUGUUUAGUUGAAGGUUUGUUGAUGUUGCUGCUGACAGGCAGACUGUACCUGAGAACAGGUGUAGACAAGGUGUGCAUUUUAACAUUGGAACUCCUGAUAAUCUUUGAAUUUAAAAACCGGCUGGUUAUAUACAUACACCAUUACACCUUUCUGAACACAAUCUGUCAUUUUCAUUUACACCUUCUUUGAUUUUUACCAAGGUCCCUGGCUUCAUAUAACAGGAAAAUAAAAAUUAAAUCCACAGGGUGUCUUUUCCAUCCUUGCAAAUUCAUUCUAUUUCAUGAAAUAGAAUGAAACAAUAAUCCGUGCGACGAUGGUUUUUUCUGGAAAUUAAUUAAAACUGGUGGAGGACAGCAUUAAUAUAGAAGAAAAUAAUGAAAUUAAAUGAAUGCUUUAUGAUGUUUCAAAACAAAGAUAAGGCAGAGUUUUGGGUGUGCAGGGUCAUUAAUGAUGUGCCUGUGAUAAAGGAACAUUAUAUAACUCAUUGGAGGGACUCUUGACAUUAAGGAGGGACAUCCUGUAAUUAAUUCCUACCUAAUCAUUUGUCUGCUUAGAUACAAAUUAUAUCUCCUGUAUUUUGGUAGAGGGUGUUCACAUGUAGGAGAAGGGAGCUAUAUUGGAGAUAGAGAGUGGUGAAGUUGAUGAUGUAACCUUACUGCCAUUCUUUUUUCCACAAUAGACAUACCAGCUGGAGAUCCCAGCUAACUUAGGGGUAAUGACCCAUGUAUGAAAGGGAGAUAACUAGGAACUCUACAUACAUCAUUAAUGGAACCACUUGGCACCUCUAUUCAUGAUGGAAAAUUUUCCAUUACUGUCAGUCCCCAGUAAUUAUUAGGACUUGAGGGUUCUCCACUCAGAGUGAGAAAAGUAACAAGUUCCUCUUUUGAUGUUCUGUUUUUAAAUUGCAACUCACAAGUAUUAGAUUUUGAUUUGGGUAUAAAGAUUUGGGUAAAAAGCAAUUGAUAAUUGAAUGGCUAUUCCAAGCAUGAGGGUUAGAGGAUCUAAUUUUGACAACUUUGUGUGUUCAAGAGUGCUCAAGGUUAAUUAAAGGCAAAAUACUGAAAGUUAGGUUGUUGUUUAGACAAGAUAUACUUCAUUUUCUACAUAGAGACUUAUCACAGUAUUGGAAUAUUAUUUAUACAUAAUUAAUUUUUACAUGUGCAAAUUGUUUUAAAGCUAUUUGACAAUUUUUCAUCUUGGAACGGUUGUUGAAUCUAACCUUGGAAUACGUGGGUGGAAUGAAAAGUUAAUUGUAUGCAAAGUAAAGAAAAAUUAAAAUAUGGGAAUGUUGUAAAAUGGCUACAUGUUCACAUUUAAUACUGAAUCACAGAAAUAAACACAAAGCCACAUGUGAUGGAUCAUUUUGAUUCCUUUAUCAUAAGCUGAAAUUAACAUAAAAGUUGUUGCAUCAUUGGCUGAUUUAAUUAAAUGGAAAAAAAGGGAAAUGUUAUUCACCCAGAGCUCCAUCAGAUGAGCACCACAAACAUGCUCGCGGUUUAUCAAAAAAGUACUUUUAUAAUUUCCAUGAUUUUAAAUGGAAUUAAUUGUUGAGUAUUUUUAAAUCAUUCUGUAAACACUGGGUUCUGUAAAACUGCUUGCAUUUUGUUUGCUGGUUGAAUGGCCGGUGUAGUCCAUCCAUCAUUCAUGUAUUUAUCUUCAAGUGAUAUAUGUCGAUCAUUCUGUGCUUCUUUCGCAGAGAAGUGACGAAACUAAUAAGACUUUAUUUGAAUAAUUGAAUUUGUAUUUGUCAGUGGUGCAGGACGGGGGCAUACGGAAUUUCUUUCAGUAUCAUGUUAGGAUCAUUAACUGACAAAAACUUGUAACUGACAGAGAAUCUAUUGUGUAUUAUACAGGGGGCCCUGAUGUUGGACAAAAGCAAAGCAGACCACAGGCCGGGAGUUACAGACACCAGCCAAUACCAAGAUUUGCAUUCCAAUGAAUGGUUUAUAUGCCUAUUUUUCUACAAGAGAAAGGCAAAGAAUUGGUGCACAAAUUGAAACGGAGGGGAUGUAGAGAUGGCCGUCUCCUUGAAGCUGAGAGGAGGUUAAACAAUCAGGAGUCUGACAAUGGUUGAUGGAUGACAGUAAUGAGAGAACUCAGCAGAAGUGAUUGGUCCGUAGUUACAGUUGUCCCAUGAUUGUCCCAUGAUGGAGACUGCAUUCCAGACAGAAGAAAGUAUCAAGUAACCAUGCAUGUUCACCCGACAGAAAAGAGUAUCGUGUUACCACACCCACCCGACUGAAAAAAGUACCAUCUAACCACACCCACUUAGCAGAAAAAGUAACAUGUUACCAUGCCUAUCAGGCAUCUGUCAGAAAAGAGUAUCAUGUAACCACACCCACCCGACAGAAAAAAGUACCGUAACUAUGCCAACCCAGCAGAAAAAGUAUCAUGUAGCCAUGCCCAUAUGGCAGAAGAAAGUAUUUUAACCACACCCACCCAGCAGAAGAAAGUAUGGUAACCAUGCCAACCCAGCAGAAAAAGUAUCACGUAACCACACCCACCUGACAGAAAAAAGUAUCAUGUAACCAUGCCCACCUAGCAGAAGAAGUAUCAGAUUGGCAAUCCUAAGCAUGUUCCCACCCUGUUAAUUAAGGUUUGGAAUGGUGAACAGAUGUAAAGAAACAUCCUCCAACAAGAUUAACCAGUUCUGCAAACUGACCCAAACCAACUCCUGAUGAAAUCAAGUCCUGGAAGAGAGUGUGUCUAUGUGGUGAUAUUCAAUUAUGGGUCUUUAACAGGAAGAAGAUAGAGCUUAGUGAAAUAAAUUGCAUGGUCAGUUUUUCACUAAAAAUUGCUGCAGAACAUGUUUUGGGGCAAGAGGGAACAAAAAUUGAAUUUGGUGGUCCCUGCCUUUUGAGGCCCUAGGGGUGCCCUCUGCCAUUUCAAGGUUCAUACAUCUUAUGACUAUCAGGCUUAGUCUGGAGGUCAAUAAGAGGAGAUCGAUAUUCUAGAACACAAAAUGAACAAAGGCUUCUUGACAGUAUAGGACUAAAAUGAAAAAUGGUUGCUAAUAAAGAGGGAAGUUUUAUGGAAGGAGGGGAAAAAAUCUCGAGAACCAUAGAUUGCAAUAUUGCGGCAGGAAGGACCAGAAACGUUUUUAAUUAUUUGGAGAAUCCGCUGACAGAGAAGCAGCUGCUCUGUAGUUCUAGAUUAUUCUUUAAUAAUGUUACGACUCUUGGAAAGUAGUACUUAUCAUUAAAGAAAAUAUUAAAAUAAUGUAGUCUGCCAAUUCAGGAAACAUUCAUUUUUAUCUCCUAGCAACAGAGACAGGGAUAUAGCAACUUGCCCAUUUUUUUUAUUUCUACCUAGAUCUAGUCCAAUAUUUUUUUUUUUGGUUACCUGAAUCACCUAUUGUGGUCUUCUUGUGUUCACACGUGAACAUGGAAUACCAGCUAAAUAUGCUUCAUCUAAUACCUGCUCUAGGUGCUGCACCUGACCUACAUGUACAUUUCGUGCUUCGAUGACUCUGGUUGAUUAUGUUUCUUGAGUUUAAUGCCACCAUGUCAUAUGGAGAUAUAAUAUGUAUGGAAAGUGUAACAUAAUUUUUUUAGAUAGGAAACAUUAAAAUUUUAACUUAUUUAGCAAAAAAGUUACAAUUUUAAUUACUUUGUCCAGUGACUUAAUCAAGCAAAACUUAGAAAUAAUAAUUAUUUGCAUUAGUGACGUACUUUGGUUUGAAAUAUGGUGAUGAAGCAAUAGUUCUCUUUGAUUUGUACACUAGCAUACUUGCUGAUAUUGCACAUUAUCAACUGAUAGCUCAGAUGUAGCAUCUGACUCCCCCACCCCCUCCCUAAAAAAAAACAUUGUUUUUAUCCUUUCUGUCUAUCUUUUGUGAUUGACUUUUGAUGUGCCUGUGGCCAUCUUUUCACAUUUCAAAAAGAUCAGCAAUAUUUCUGCCAACACAGUCCAGAUAUUGAUAAGGUCUGGUCACUUGUGAUGAGUGGGUGUGCAGUAUAGAUAAUGUCCAAUACUUUAUGUCCACUGACGUCUAGUGUAUUGGGGGAGGCAGGAGCAUUGGAUUGGUGCUGUAAGAACCCCACUAAAACAAAAAGUACUUUGGAAACAUCCUCUUUCGAUGAUUGGGUUUAUGUUCUUGUUGAAAUGUAUCAAAAUAGCUGCAUGUAUCUACAACCCAAUUAAAUAAGAAGAAUGUGUAAUAAAAGGCACACCUGUGUUCAGUAUUGUGAACAUCGUUUAUAGAUGCAUUGAUCAAUGAAACAUUACUCUAUGUAUAUGAGCUUCAUAAGUAAAUAUAUGCAUGUACAUGUAUUCUCUUACCUCAUUUUACUGUACAGCAGGUUGACAUGUAGAGCAUUAUGACUAGUUAUAUAAUGAUCGAUCACUUAGGUCCUCUAUGGUGACAUUUAUAAGUUCAGACAUGAAAUAAUUAUCUAGUUAGACACUUAGUCCCAUGCCUUGGCAUUUAGUGUAAAUCAAAAUCUGUCGAGUUCUUUUUGUUUGAAGGACUGAUGAAAUAAUACCAAGUGCAAUUGUAGUUGCAUUUAUUUAACAUGUGUAUGCAGCGAGGCAUGUUUGUUUAAUACUUUAAAAAUGUUUGUUCAAAAUCUGUGGAAUAAGCUGGGUUUUUAUAAUAUGUAGAGUUAUUUUUGUCUCUUGACCUCCAUCAUUAAAGUUGCAUGGAGUUAGCCGCCCCCACCCCAUUUGAAAAGUAUUAAUAGUACUGAUUCAUGAAUGAAGGAUAAAAAAAAGAAGAAGAUAUAAAUGAUGUGUAGCAUAUAUACCGGUAUUCAUAAAUGUUCUUCAUUACUGAAUUUUUUUAUGUAGUUAGCCAAGAUUGUAAGCAGAUUAUAUCGUUAGGUAACGAGUAUUUCAAGGGAUUGCACUCUGUGACUUAAUACAUCUUGACCUUAUGCUGCCGUAGUAACGUGAUGUCAAAUGAAGAACAGAAUCAACUGGUCUCUCUGGUCAAGGAACGCAAUAGGCUUGUGCUUUAAUAUCCCAGAGAUUUGGUUGAGCUGACCAAAUAAGAUUAUGUACUUGCUUGAAAGUGUUAUGCAGGUGAUUUCAUGUGGAGCAGAGUCGUUUGUAUAAUGCAUGCCGACGACAUGUGACAGUUUAAUUAUAAUCCUGUAUGGUUAGGAUCGUAAAGACGCAGUACAUGACAUUUCCUUGAUGUGAGAGCUGUUAUUUGCAUGUUUGACGUUUUUAAACGCAUGUACAUGUAUUGCUGUACGUGCAUUGAUGAGGGUGCUGAACUGACAAAAAUGGAAGUGAUUACCAAUUCUAAAUUGUGAUUAUUAUUUUUCAUUUGUCAAUGAGGGUUGGUGGGGUGGGAGGUGCAUACAAUUUAUGAUAUUAGAAAAAGUUAUCACUUCAUGUUUUAUUAAUAAACAUAAUGAAAUUGA
Long non-coding RNA from Ostrea edulis (European flat oyster), 9732 nucleotides. RefSeq lists it as uncharacterized. The record is from RefSeq and is a predicted model, not a curated record. The transcript is spliced from 9 exons. NCBI's taxonomy places the organism in Eukaryota, Metazoa, Mollusca, Bivalvia, Ostreida, Ostreidae.